Molecule: ribosomal RNA, 774 nt
Filed under: uncultured Neocallimastigales
Lineage: Eukaryota; Fungi; Neocallimastigomycota; Neocallimastigomycetes; Neocallimastigales
Description: partial large subunit ribosomal RNA
Rfam family: Eukaryotic large subunit ribosomal RNA
Source: RNAcentral
UCAGACGAUGCGUCAUGCAUAUCAAUAAGCGGAGGAAAAGAAACUAACAAGGAUUCCCUUAGUAACGGCGAGUGAAGCGGGAAGAGCUCAAAUUUGAAAUCUUCAAGGUUUUACCUUGACGAAUUGUAGUUUAAAGAAGUGUUUUCUGUUGAAGUUUUGGUAAAAGUUCUUUGGAAUAGGACAUCAUAGAGGGUGAGAAUCCCGUAUUUGACCAUUAUUUUCAGCUGUGUGAUACACUUUCAAAGAGUCGGAUUGUUUGGGAAUGCAGUCCAAAAUGGGUGGUAAAUUUCAUCUAAAGCUAAAUAUUGGCGAGAGACCGAUAGCGAACAAGUACCGUGAGGGAAAGAUGAAAAGAACUUUGAAAAGAGAGUUAAACAGUACGUGAAAUUGUCAAAAGGGAAGCGUUUGACACCAGUGUUGUUUUCUCGAAAAUCAAUUAAAAAAGGCCGGAUUUUGUGUUGUAUUGACUUUAUCAGCUUUCUGCACUUUUUUCUUGUCUUUUUUAAUGCACUUUUCGUUUAACAAGUCAACAUCAAUUUCUUUUGUUGUAAAAGGGUCAUUGGAAGGUGGCUUUCUCUUCGGAGAAAGUGUUUAUAGCCUUUGAUCUCUGCAAUCGGAGAGACUGAGGUCUGCAGCGUAGAUCCUUCGGGGUUAGAUACAUUUGUGCUAAGCUACAGCUUUUCAUAGACAACUUGUUGACUAUGUUUAGUCUUGUAACUUACCCGCUUAUGCUAUUUUACCUACGCUUAGGAUGUUGAUAUGCAUGACUGAUAU